Molecule: ribosomal RNA, 428 nt
Filed under: uncultured bacterium
Lineage: Bacteria
Description: bacterial SSU rRNA
Rfam family: Bacterial small subunit ribosomal RNA
Source: RNAcentral
UAGGGAAUCUUCGGCAAUGGGGGGAACCCUGACCGAGCAACGCCGCGUGAGUGAAGAAGGUUUUCGGAUCGUAAAGCUCUGUUGUUAGAGAAGAACGUGUGUGAGAGUGGAAAGUUCACACAGUGACGGUAACUAACCAGAAAGGGACGGCUAACUACGUGCCAGCAGCCGCGGUAAUACGUAGGUCCCGAGCGUUGUCCGGAUUUAUUGGGCGUAAAGCGAGCGCAGGCGGUUCUGUAAGUCUGAAGUUAAAGGCAGUGGCUUAACCAUUGUACGCUUUGGAAACUGCAGGACUUGAGUGCAGAAGGGGAGAGUGGAAUUCCAUGUGUAGCGGUGAAAUGCGUAGAUAUAUGGAGGAACACCGGUGGCGAAAGCGGCUCUCUGGUCUGUAACUGACGCUGAGGCUCGAAAGCGUGGGGAGCAAACAG